UAAGUAGUCAAGACAAUCGCGGCUGCCUUUCUGGCAGAUGAGGAAAGUCCGGGCUCCAGAGGGCAGCGUGCUGGAUAACGUCCAGCGGGGGUGACCCCAGGGAUAGCGCCACAGAAAACAAACCGCCGGGCAACCGGUAAGGCUGAAACGGUGCGGUAAGAGCGCACCAGCGGGCAGGUGACUGUCCGGCUUGGCAAGCCC
This 201-nucleotide RNase P RNA is filed under the name Selenomonas sp. RNAcentral describes it as "partial RNase P RNA component class A". It matches the Rfam family "Bacterial RNase P class A", at positions 1 to 213 of the family's 367-position model. Rfam says of the family: Ribonuclease P (RNase P) is a ubiquitous endoribonuclease, found in archaea, bacteria and eukarya as well as chloroplasts and mitochondria. The record is from RNAcentral. Lineage: Bacteria; Bacillati; Bacillota; Negativicutes; Selenomonadales; Selenomonadaceae.